UACGUAGGGGGCGAGCGUUGUCCGGAGUUACUGGGCGUAAAGCGCAUGCAGGCGGUCGCACAAGUUCGGCGUGACAGUGCCCGGCUUAACUGGGCAAGUGCGUCGAAAACUGUACGACUUGAAGGCUUCAGAGGGACACGGAAUUCCGGGUGUAGUGGUGAAAUGCGUAGAUAUCCGGAGGAACACCAAUGGCGUAGGCAGUGUCCUGGGGAGCUCUUGACGCUCAGAUGCGAAAGCCAGGGGAGCGAACGGG
This 253-nucleotide ribosomal RNA is filed under the name uncultured bacterium. RNAcentral describes it as "partial 16S ribosomal RNA". It matches the Rfam family "Bacterial small subunit ribosomal RNA", at positions 524 to 776 of the family's 1533-position model. The record is from RNAcentral.